UGCCAGCAGCCGCGGUAAUACAGAGGUCUCAAGCGUUGUUCGGAAUUACUGGGCGUAAAGCGUGCGUAGGCGGCGAGGUAAGUCAGAUGUGAAAUCCCGGGGCUCAACCCCGGAACUGCCUCUAAUACUGGUAGUCUAGAGUUCGAGAGAGGUGAGUGGAAUUCCGAGUGUAGAGGUGAAAUUCGUAGAUAUUCGGAGGAACACCAGUGGCGAAGGCGGCUCACUGGCUCGAUACUGACGCUGAGGUACGAAAGUGUGGGGAGCAAACAGGAUUAGAUA
This 279-nucleotide ribosomal RNA is filed under the name uncultured bacterium. Its description in RNAcentral is "partial 16S ribosomal RNA". It matches the Rfam family "Bacterial small subunit ribosomal RNA", at positions 506 to 784 of the family's 1533-position model. The record is from RNAcentral.